Molecule: non-coding RNA, 30 nt
Filed under: Mus musculus (house mouse)
Lineage: Eukaryota; Metazoa; Chordata; Mammalia; Rodentia; Muridae
Source: RNAcentral
UGCCAAACUUUAAUAUGCUGAUUUUCCUGA